This 301-nucleotide long non-coding RNA is filed under the name Elaeis guineensis (African oil palm). RNAcentral's name for it is "long non-coding RNA (EGUI_LNC043298)". The record is from RNAcentral. Lineage: Eukaryota; Viridiplantae; Streptophyta; Magnoliopsida; Arecales; Arecaceae.
UAGUGGAAGGGUUGUAGAGUGGGUUGUACUAGCCAAUACUAUUUAAAGAUGCACACGAUUUUGGUCGUAACUGCCAAAAAUGUCAAUAGACAGAUAUGUAGGAUCUGGUGUGAUGCUCCCAAGGCUCAGAGGAUCAAGAAAAAGGCUAAGGUUCAAGACCCAUGAGGUGUUUAUGGGGGUUCUAAAGCUAGUUUGGGCCCUAGAGUGAAAGGCUGUCAACUAUCACAGUCUUAAGGUCCAGAGAAUUUGGGCCUUGAGGGACUAACUUGUUAUAUUGAGCUAGGUUUGAAUCUAAGAGAGG